Long non-coding RNA from Mesoplodon densirostris (Blainville's beaked whale), 3656 nucleotides. RefSeq lists it as uncharacterized. NCBI's taxonomy places the organism in Eukaryota, Metazoa, Chordata, Mammalia, Artiodactyla, Ziphiidae. The record is from RefSeq and is a predicted model, not a curated record. The transcript is spliced from 3 exons.
CGGACGCACUUCCGCCGCCGGCAGGUCUGAGGCUCCGAGGGGCUGGGCAGGUCCGGGGGGCCACCUUCCCCGGGCGCUGGAGUGUGCCCUAAAGGAUAACACGUAUCAGCAAUCCUCCUCUUGGCCCAUUGGAGUGGGAAUGGCUGCUGUUUUCCUCCAGAUGUUCCUGAAGAGCCAAAAGGGCUCUUUGAAGUAACUAACAAAAAAGGGCCUGUGCUUCCCUGGUGGCGCAGGGAAGAGAGAGUCCGCCUGCCGAUGCAGGGGACGUGGGUUUGUGCCCCGGUCCAGGAAGAUCCCACAUGCCGCAGAGCAGCUGGGCUCGUGAGCCAUGGCCGCUGAGCCUGCGCGUCUGGAGCCUGUGCUCUGCAACGGGAGAGGCCACAACAGUGAGAGGCCCGCGUACCGCAAAAAAAAUGGCGUGCUGUGGGUCAGAGAUCUGGCACAAAAGGGAGCAGCCAAAACAACCUGGAGUUAUUCUGCCAGCGCUUCCAACAUUCCUGCUACAAGGAGACUCCUGGGCCCCAUGAGGCCUUGAGCCAUCUCUGGGUGUUCUGCUGUGAGUGGUUAAGGCCUGAGAUACACACCGGGGAGCAGAUGUUAGACUUGCUGGUGCUGGAGCAGUUCCUGACCAUCCUGCCUGAGGAGCUCCAGGACUGGGUACAGGAUCCUCAACCAGAAAGUGGGGAGGAGGUGGUAGCUAUGCUGGAAGAUCUGGAGAGGGAGCUGGAUGAAUCAGGCCAACAGGUUUCAACCCAGGCCUGUGCACAGGAAGUGCUUUCUGAGACAUCGGUACCUCUGGAUCCAGCUAAGAAAGCAACGUAUCUCCAGCCUCAACCCAUGGAGAUCCAGCAUAAGGGUGAAUCUCAGGACCCUCUACACCAACAGGAUUGUAGUUAGUAUUGACACUUAGGUCCUAUGGCUCCCCUGGAGACCUUAGAAUCAUUCAUCAUUCAGCAGAUGUAUAUUGAAUACUUAUUAUCUACCAGGUACUGAGCAAGGCACUAGGUGUAAUAAACAAAGUGGACAUGAUCUUUGUUUUCAUGGAGCUUACAAUAGUCUGACGACAGAGGCAUUAAACAAACAACCACACAAAUAAAUAUGCCGUGAUAGAUUGUAUAUGGGGGGGAGAGGGAUGACAGAGAAGGUCUCUUUGAGGAAAUAACAUGGUAACUGAAUCCUAAAAGUAGAGUAGGAAUUAACCAAGUGAAUAAUAAAGGGGAAAGCAUUCCAGGCCAAAAGAGCAUGUGCAAAAACAAGUGUGAAAGAAAUUGGUGGGUUUGAAAGAUGGCCAGUGUGACUGGAACGUGGAGAGACAGGCAGAGUAGCAGAGAGAAGAUGGUCAGGAACCAGAAAAUGGGGGCUUUGUGGGUCCUGUUAAGAAGUCAGUAAAUCUUUACUUUUCACUGUGUGUAAGCCUAGCUCUGGGUUCUCUGAGGAUCCCUGCCCUAAAGGGGUUGAGUAUCCAUAAAAAGAUAGCCGUUGAUUUGAGACAGUGAAUGAUUAUGUGCCAAAUUGGAGAUCAUGGUUCUUAGGAGAAGAAAUCUACUUCUUCAGGCCCUGGUGGUAGCAGAAUGGCUAGGAUUUGAACUGGGUCAUAAAAAAAAGGGGGUAGCAUUUCACUGGGCAGAGAACAUCAGGAAGGCUGUUGCUCAUACUCACUCCUCUUCUAGCUCUCUCUGUCCUGCUACCCUGUUCUUCAGCUCUUUAGUGGAGAUUUCUAGUUAUUUAGCCCAUUUUUUUCCUCCCAGUGCUUCUUUCCUUCCCUGUCCUAUCAGAACCAUGACAUAUUUGGGUUUUGCUAAUAUGCUCAGCAUUCUCCCAGCCACCCUCACUGCACUGCCACACACAUCAACACCCUGUUGGAUUCAUAAAACACCACCUGUGACCAUACCUUCUCCACUCGCCUGCCAAACCAACUCAGAGCUAUUCUUCAAGACGCACCUCAGCUGUCACCUCCUUCAGGAAGCCUUUCUUGAUACUUUCCUACAUGUUUGAGUGAUGUGAUACCUCUUGUGCAUACCUCUGGCACAGCAGUUAGCAUAUUGUAUUUCCACUUCACUUGUCUGAAGCUCCUUCUGUUGAUUACAGUUGGUCAUUCUUAGGAACAAGUUUCUUUUUUAAAUGUGAAAUGGACAUUUUCUUUAAUAGUAAGAUGUUAGUUAAGUUUUCUGACAUGUUUUAUCAAUUUCUGAGGCACCAUUCUUGUAUGCCAGCACCUUUCCUCUGGAUUCACUCUUGUUGAAGUUCAUCCUUUAAUAAUUAUUUUAUUGAGUCAUUUGUUGAGACAUGGAUGGAUCUAGAGACUGUCAUACAGAGUGAAGUAAGUCAGAAAGAGAAAAACAAAUAUUGUAUAUUAACGCAUGUAUGUGGAACCUAGAAAAAUGGUACAGAUGAACCGGUUUGCAGGGCAAAAAUAGAGACACAGAUGUAGAGAACAAACGUAUGGACACCAAGGGGGGAAAGCCAUGGGGGUGUGUGUGAUGAAUUGGGAGAUUGGGAUUGACAUGUAUACACUGAUGUGUAUAAAAUGGAUGACUAAUAAAAACCUGCUGUAUAAAAAAUAAAAUAAAAUAAAAUUCAAAAAUUAAAAUAAUAAUAAUUUUAGCAAGAUUCUUUGGGUAGUAGACUUAGUCUUUGCAUCUCGGAAAAUACCCUUAUUUUUCCCUCCCUCCUUUUUAAUCAAAAAAGCAGCUAAGAAAUGGAAAGAUGGGGAUAAACUCUAUGAGAGGAGGAAAGCGAAGAGAAGUUAGGGAGAAAAGGGAAAGACCAGAGAUGCCAGAAAAACAAACUUCAAACAGGAAAUGGAAACAAAAUUAGUGAAAACAUAAUAAAUGACAAAGCAACCUUUAAAGAAACAUGAAGGGGAGGUUGAGGGUUUGUAGAGGCUAGAGCCCAUGUUUUGAUUGUUAACCUCCCAGUGACUUCAGAGUAAAAAUCAACCCUUUAUUUCUAUGCCAUGUAGGCCAAAUCCCUCAUAUGAAAGAUCCUAACCCAAACCUGAGUUCACUACUCUAAACACCACUCAGGAUCCUUGUCCUGCAUGGGUCUCAGUGUUGAGACACAGGACGCCCCUCUUUACCACUCUAAGCCUCAACUUGUUGAACUCUGCUCAGCCUGAACUCUACCUUCUUAGCAAAACCAAACAAGCAGAAGGAUUCUCCUGAGGAGCAAUAAUAUAUUCUUGGCCUCUCUCUGCGAGGCAUGUGGCUUGCCUGUUCCACUAAAGAGGAAAAAGCAUGAUGUUGUGAGAUAGUAAUAUCCAUUAUAAAUUAAAUAAUGAUAUACGCAAAAGGAAAAGCCCUUUUCAAAGUAUAACAGUAAUAGCUACCGUCUCUUGAACCCGUGUCCCAGACACUAUACCAAGCACCUUAUUAUCAAUAUAUAUCUCAUGUAAACUUUCCAUCUCUUCUAUAAGCACUAUUUAUUAUAUCUCAAUGUCUACAUAUAAUUUAUUCUUAUGAAAAGCUUGUAAUAAAAUGAAAAGUUUUUAGUACAUUAAAAUGUUAAAUAGCCUGUUAAAGUGCUUUUAGAAUAAAAUCACACAACUGUGUAAAACAGAUUAAAAAUAUCAAAAAGUGGAAGGGAAUGACAACAACAUGUCAAUAGUGACUGUAUUUAGGUGAUGAAAAUGGAACGAUUCUCUUCUUUUCUUUCUA